This is a long non-coding RNA of Sapajus apella (tufted capuchin), 196 nucleotides long. RefSeq lists it as uncharacterized. The transcript is spliced from 2 exons. Lineage: Eukaryota; Metazoa; Chordata; Mammalia; Primates; Cebidae. The record is from RefSeq and is a predicted model, not a curated record.
GAGAAUUUGUUCCAGUAACUCCGUGUUUAAUAACCAUACCAUUUGAGACAGCAAUCCCAUUACUGAGUAUAUACCCAAAGGAUUAUAAAUCAUUCUACUCUAAACUCACAGCCACACAUAUGUUUAUUCUAGCACUAUUCACAAUAGCAAAGACUUGGAACCAGCCCAAAUGCCCAUCAUUGAUAGACUGGAUAAA